AAUCAGGCAUAAAAGAAGAACGUGUUACCCUCCUUCCUCACGGGUACAAAGGGGUAAAUCCCUAAAUCCCAUUUCACCUCUUAUCUUCUUCUAUGGCAGCGAGGAGCUUCGAGGAACGACGCACCAAUGGCGAGCGGUGAAUGAGGUUCCACCAUGCGACAUAGCCAUCGAUUCGCGUUGCUCUCUCUUUGAUCUCACUCGCGAUGGUCCUCCCCGCAUAAGCUUUUACUCUUUCGUCCUUAACGGUGGUGAAAGGCCACCAUCUCUCCUUAUCUGAGUAGAAUGGUAACUGGCCUUUAUCAUGUAACUCAUGGCUGGUUUGUGUGAAUGCUUUGGAAUAAUUAUUAUUUACUUAAGUGUAUGUGUAACCAGAAGAGAAUAUGUAUUCUGGUUUGCUGCUUUUGAACUACCAUCUGCCUUAUUCAGGGAAUCAUGGUUAUAACUAUCUUCCAAGAGGUAUUUGUAUGCUAGAAGUAUCGAUUGUAUCCAUUGUAUGUACAUUAGUAAGAACUUUUGUGACUGAUUCCCCUAGUUUAAUGUGUCCAUUCAAGAACAAUUCUAUGCAUAUCUUCCUGAUGAGGAUUCUACAAAUCACGUUAUUGUCAUUGUCUUCAUUUGCUGCCAAUCCUCUCUCUCUAGCUGAUGUUAUCUUGGCUGUUUUCUCAUUUGGGUUAAUGCUGGAUUUUUAGGUUCAAGUGCAGACCUGGUAAUGGCUUGUGGGCGUUGGCCAAAGCCAAAAUCAACACUAAAGGGUUUUGGUUAUGGAUCCCUUGCCCCUUCUAUUAAUAAGGAUGUUGUUAUUGCUCUAUUUCUUGUGCUAAUAUAUUCUGUUUGUUUUUGCAGUGGAUGAUUCUAUUUGGUGCUAGACUCAUUGUCCGUUCCAUUUGGUUCACCAUAUCUCUUCGCCUCUUUCAUUAUUUUACAUCAUCAUUAAUUGUUGGUACCAAAGAGCAACACAAGCUUCAGAUGCGAAAUCCCAGUGUCCAGGUGAG
RNAcentral lists this long non-coding RNA (992 nucleotides) under Lupinus angustifolius (narrow-leaved blue lupine). Its description in RNAcentral is "long non-coding RNA (LANG_LNC002302)". The record is from RNAcentral. Lineage: Eukaryota; Viridiplantae; Streptophyta; Magnoliopsida; Fabales; Fabaceae.